This 741-nucleotide ribosomal RNA is filed under the name Lelliottia sp. RNAcentral describes it as "partial 16S rRNA". Lineage: Bacteria; Pseudomonadati; Pseudomonadota; Gammaproteobacteria; Enterobacterales; Enterobacteriaceae. The record is from RNAcentral.
GCUUUCGCACCUGAGCGUCAGUCUUUGUCCAGGGGGCCGCCUUCGCCACCGGUAUUCCUCCAGAUCUCUACGCAUUUCACCGCUACACCUGGAAUUCUACCCCCCUCUACAAGACUCUAGCCUGCCAGUUUCGAAUGCAGUUCCCAGGUUGAGCCCGGGGAUUUCACAUCCGACUUGACAGACCGCCUGCGUGCGCUUUACGCCCAGUAAUUCCGAUUAACGCUUGCACCCUCCGUAUUACCGCGGCUGCUGGCACGGAGUUAGCCGGUGCUUCUUCUGCGAGUAACGUCAAUCACUGUGGUUAUUAACCACAAUGCCUUCCUCCUCGCUGAAAGUACUUUACAACCCGAAGGCCUUCUUCAUACACGCGGCAUGGCUGCAUCAGGCUUGCGCCCAUUGUGCAAUAUUCCCCACUGCUGCCUCCCGUAGGAGUCUGGACCGUGUCUCAGUUCCAGUGUGGCUGGUCAUCCUCUCAGACCAGCUAGGGAUCGUCGCCUAGGUGAGCCAUUACCCCACCUACUAGCUAAUCCCAUCUGGGCACAUCUGAUGGCAAGAGGCCCGAAGGUCCCCCUCUUUGGUCUUGCGACGUUAUGCGGUAUUAGCUACCGUUUCCAGUAGUUAUCCCCCUCCAUCAGGCAGUUUCCCAGACAUUACUCACCCGUCCGCCGCUCGUCACCCGAGAGCAAGCUCUCUGUGCUACCGCUCGACUUGCAUGUGUUAGGCCUGCCGCCAGCGUUCAAU